RNAcentral lists this transfer RNA (88 nucleotides) under Candidatus Sediminicultor quintus. Its description in RNAcentral is "Candidatus Atribacteria bacterium RBG_19FT_COMBO_35_14 tRNA-Ser". It matches the Rfam family "tRNA". Rfam says of the family: Transfer RNA (tRNA) molecules are approximately 80 nucleotides in length. Their secondary structure includes four short double-helical elements and three loops (D, anti-codon, and T loops). Further hydrogen bonds mediate the characteristic L-shaped molecular structure. tRNAs have two regions of fundamental functional importance: the anti-codon, which is responsible for specific mRNA codon recognition, and the 3' end, to which the tRNAs corresponding amino acid is attached (by aminoacyl-tRNA synthetases). tRNAs cope with the degeneracy of the genetic code in two manners: having more than one tRNA (with a specific anti-codon) for a particular amino acid; and 'wobble' base-pairing, i.e. permitting non-standard base-pairing at the 3rd anti-codon position. The record is from RNAcentral. RNAcentral also lists the same sequence under 10 other names. Lineage: Bacteria; Pseudomonadati; Atribacterota; Candidatus Phoenicimicrobiia; Candidatus Pheonicimicrobiales; Candidatus Phoenicimicrobiaceae.
GGAGGGGUGGCAGAGCGGCCGAAUGCACCGGUCUUGAAAACCGGCGAUACGAAAGUAUCCGUGGGUUCAAAUCCCACCCCCUCCGCCA